Molecule: ribosomal RNA, 467 nt
Filed under: uncultured bacterium
Lineage: Bacteria
Description: partial 16S ribosomal RNA
Rfam family: Bacterial small subunit ribosomal RNA
Source: RNAcentral
GACGAACGCUGGCGGCGUGCUUAACACAUGCAAGUCGAACGGAAAGGCCCUGCUUUUGUGGGGUGCUCGAGUGGCGAACGGGUGAGUAACACGUGAGUAACCUGCCCUUGACUUUGGGAUAACUUCAGGAAACUGGGGCUAAUACCGGAUAGGAGCUCCUGCUGCAUGGUGGGGGUUGGAAAGUUUCGGCGGUUGGGGAUGGACUCGCGGCUUAUCAGCUUGUUGGUGGGGUAGUGGCUUACCAAGGCUUUGACGGGUAGCCGGCCUGAGAGGGUGACCGGCCACAUUGGGACUGAGAUACGGCCCAGACUCCUACGGGGGGCAGCAGUGGGGAAUAUUGCACAAUGGGCGGAAGCCUGAUGCAGCAACGCCGCGUGCGGGAUGACGGCCUUCGGGUGGUAAACCGCUUUCGCCUGUGACGAAGCGUGAGUGACGGUAAUGGGUAAAGAAGCACCGGCUAACUACGU